RNAcentral lists this ribosomal RNA (100 nucleotides) under uncultured bacterium. Its description in RNAcentral is "partial 16S ribosomal RNA". It matches the Rfam family "Bacterial small subunit ribosomal RNA", at positions 408 to 508 of the family's 1533-position model. The record is from RNAcentral.
AGGAAGGCCUUCGGGUUGUAAACCCCUGUUGCCCGGGACGAAUGUGCAUUUUUGAGUGCAUUGACGGUACCGGGUGAGGAAGCACCGGCUAACUCCGUGC